GUCGGGAAUAUUGCGCAAUGGAGGAAACUCUGACGCAGUGACGCCGCGUGCAGGAAGAAGGUUUUCGGAUUGUAAACUGCUUUAGACAGGGAAGAAACAAGACAGUACCUGUAGAAUAAGCUCCGGCUAACUACGUGCCAGCAGCCGCGGUAAUACGUAGGGAGCAAGCGUUAUCCGGAUUUAUUGGGUGUAAAGGGUGCGUAGACGGGAAGGCAAGUUGGUUGUGAAAUCCCUCGGCUUAACUGAGGAACUGCAACCAAAACUAUCUUUCUUGAGUGCUGGAGAGGAAAGUGGAAUUCCUAGUGUAGCGGUGAAAUGCGUAGAUAUUAGGAGGAACACCAGUGGCGAAGGCGACUUUCUGGACAGUAACUGACGUUGAGGCACGAAAGUGUGGGGAGCAAACAGGA
This 407-nucleotide ribosomal RNA is filed under the name uncultured bacterium. Its description in RNAcentral is "bacterial SSU rRNA". It matches the Rfam family "Bacterial small subunit ribosomal RNA", at positions 354 to 777 of the family's 1533-position model. The record is from RNAcentral.